GACGAACGCUGGCGGCGUGCUUAACACAUGCAAGUCGAACGGUAAGGCCCUUCGGGGUACACGAGUGGCGAACGGGUGAGUAACACGUGGGUGAUCUGCCCUGCACUUUGGGAUAAGCCUGGGAAACUGGGUCUAAUACCGGAUAGGACCACUGCCUGCAUGGGUGGUGGUGGAAAGCUUUUGCGGUGUGGGAUGGGCCCGCGGCCUAUCAGCUUGUUGGUGGGGUGAUGGCCUACCAAGGCGACGACGGGUAGCCGGCCUGAGAGGGUGACCGGCCACACUGGGACUGAGAUACGGCCCAGACUCCUACGGGAGGCAGCAGUGGGGUAUAUUGCACAAUGAGCGCAAGCCUGAUGCAGCGACGCCGCGUGAGGGAUGACGGCCUUCGGGUUGUAAACCUCUUUCAGCACCGACGAAGCGCAAGUGACGGUAGGUGCAGAAGAAGGACCGGCCAACUACGUGCCAGCCGCCGCAGUAA
Molecule: ribosomal RNA, 478 nt
Filed under: uncultured bacterium
Lineage: Bacteria
Description: partial 16S ribosomal RNA
Rfam family: Bacterial small subunit ribosomal RNA
Source: RNAcentral